GUUGUGUUAAAUUUUAAGUUUGGGGUAACCCCAUAAGUAUCUGAAAGUAAGGUGAGUGCGGAAAAAAACAAUUAAGAAAAAUGACCAUCGAAAAAAAAAGAGAAAAAAAAAGAAAAAAAAAUCGUUCGACGGUACGAGAAAAGCACUCACCGAAUGAGAAACAGUUGAAAAAAAGAGAGAAGAGAAAAUCAAAGAAAAAAGAGAACUGAGCAAUACAA
RNAcentral lists this long non-coding RNA (218 nucleotides) under Lathyrus oleraceus (garden pea). Its description in RNAcentral is "Pisum sativum (pea) long non-coding RNA (PSAT_LNC015322)". The record is from RNAcentral. Lineage: Eukaryota; Viridiplantae; Streptophyta; Magnoliopsida; Fabales; Fabaceae.